AUUUAAUUAGUUUAUGAAAACAUUACAUUUUCAUUGUAAAAAUAACAUUAUGUUAUUAAAUA
RNAcentral lists this transfer RNA (62 nucleotides) under Loxilobus prominenoculus. Its description in RNAcentral is "tRNA-Glu". The record is from RNAcentral. Lineage: Eukaryota; Metazoa; Arthropoda; Insecta; Orthoptera; Tetrigidae.